GACGAACGCUGGCGGCGUGCUUAACACAUGCAAGUCGAACGGAAAGGCCUGUCCUUCCUUGUGUUGGACGGGUACUCGAGUGGCGAACGGGUGAGUAACACGUGAGUGAUCUGCCCCCAACUUGGGUAUAAGCCUGGGAAACUGGGUCUAAUUCCCGAUAGGACUGCAGGGUGGCGCCUGUGGUGGAAAACGAUUUUCUAGUGGUUGGGGAUGAGCUCGCGGCCUAUCAGCUUGUUGGUGGGGUAAUGGCCUACCAAGGCGGCGACGGGUAGCCGGCCUGGGAGGGUGGACGGCCACAUUGGGACUGAGAUACGGCCCAGACUCCUACGGGAGGCAGCAGUGGGGAAUAGUGCACAAUGGGCGGAAGCCUGAUGCAGCGACGCCGCGUGGGGGAUGACGGCCUUCGGGUUGUAAACUCCUUUCGACCGCGAGGAAGCCGCCUGGUUGGAAGGGUGGUGACGGUAGUGGUAGAAGAAGCACCGGCUAACUACGUG
RNAcentral lists this ribosomal RNA (494 nucleotides) under uncultured bacterium. Its description in RNAcentral is "partial 16S ribosomal RNA". It matches the Rfam family "Bacterial small subunit ribosomal RNA", at positions 28 to 507 of the family's 1533-position model. The record is from RNAcentral.